RNAcentral lists this ribosomal RNA (869 nucleotides) under Phaeocollybia scatesiae. Its description in RNAcentral is "eukaryotic LSU rRNA". It matches the Rfam family "Eukaryotic large subunit ribosomal RNA", at positions 76 to 930 of the family's 3401-position model. Lineage: Eukaryota; Fungi; Basidiomycota; Agaricomycetes; Agaricales; Phaeocollybiaceae. The record is from RNAcentral.
UCCCCUAGUAACUGCGAGUGAAGAGGGAAAAGCUCAAAUUUAAAAUCUGGUUUCCUUAGGUUGUCCGAGUUGUAAUCUAGAGAAGUGUCAUCCGCGCCGGACCGUGUACAAGUCUCCUGGAACGGAGCGUCGUAGAGGGUGAGAAUCCCGUCUUUGACACGGACUACCGGGGCUUUGUGAUGCGCUCUCAAAGAGUCGAGUUGUUUGGGAAUGCAGCUCAAAAUGGGUGGUAAAUUCCAUCUAAAGCUAAAUAUUGGCGAGAGACCGAUAGCGAACAAGUACCGUGAGGGAAAGAUGAAAAGAACUUUGGAAAGAGAGUUAAACAGUACGUGAAAUUGCUGAAAGGGAAACGCUUGAAGUCAGUCGCGUUGGUCGAGAAUCAGCCUUGCUUUUGCAUGGCUUAUUUCACGGUUCAACGGGUCAGCAUCAAUUUUGACCAUUGGAUAAAGAUGAGAGGAAUGUGGCAUCUUUAGAUGUGUUAUAGCCUCUUGUUGCAUGCAGUGGUUGGGAUUGAGGAACUCAGCACGCCGCAAGGCCCGGGAGUAAUCCACGUUCGUGCUUAGGAUGCUGGCAUAAUGGCUUUAAUCGACCCGUCUUGAAACACGGACCAAGGAGUCUAACAUGCCUGCAAGUGUUUGGGUGUAAAACCCAUGCGCGUAAUGAAAGUGAAAGUUGAGAUCCCUGUCGUGGGGAGCAUCGACGCCCGGACCAGACCUUUUGUGACGGAUCCGCGGUAGAGCAUGUAUGUUGGGACCCGAAAGAUGGUGAACUAUGCCUGAAUAGGGUGAAGCCAGAGGAAACUCUGGUGGAGGCUCGUAGCGAUUCUGACGUGCAAAUCGAUCGUCAAAUUUGGGUAUAGGGGCGAAAGA